RNAcentral lists this long non-coding RNA (691 nucleotides) under Rattus norvegicus (Norway rat). RNAcentral describes it as "long non-coding RNA NONRATT005648". The record is from RNAcentral. Lineage: Eukaryota; Metazoa; Chordata; Mammalia; Rodentia; Muridae.
GGUUUGGUUAGUGCCUCGUAGAGCCUCCACCGAGUCGUCGCCAUCUUACUUUUGGAAGCUUCUCUCAUCAUAUAUAACAUUUAUCUCACUUUAGGCCGUCAAUGUGUUUGCCAUAGGCACUUCUGGCUUGUACCUGAUAAAGAAGUCUCACACGGGAAAGGAAGAAGCCGAAUGGAGCUCCCACUUCGGGUCUGCUGCUUGUUAGCUGUGCACCCUUGGUUUUUUAGGACUGGGCUUUGAAAUGUCUUCACUUCUGGAAGGCUCUUCCCCACUGACCCCACCCAGGACUUCCGCUCAUAGGAUGGCACUACCUGUAUUAAGGGCACAUCUUUCCUCCUCAGCCCAUGCUGGCCUCAGACACACCACCUUUCUGCCUCAGUCUCCUGAGUACUGAGGUCAUACUGCGUACCGUUGAGUACAGGGGUAAGGAAGAGCUCCCGGUGGGGAACGUCCCUCUGGAAGAUGGCGCAGAAGAGUGAGGGGAAAGUCUGUAGAGUGGCGUGAGGUCAGCAACAGCAGCCUCCACGGCAGGGCAAGCAAGAAGCCGAGACACCAAGGGCACGCUGAGGAGGCAGCGGUGAACUUCAAAUUCAGCAGCUACCUGGUGGCUUAAACGGACACUCCCUAAACCUUCUUCUCCUCACGACACUUUUUGCUAGAGAAAUUAUUUUCUUAUUACAUUUAUUUAUUU